RNAcentral lists this ribosomal RNA (774 nucleotides) under uncultured Neocallimastigales. Its description in RNAcentral is "partial large subunit ribosomal RNA". It matches the Rfam family "Eukaryotic large subunit ribosomal RNA", at positions 24 to 649 of the family's 3401-position model. The record is from RNAcentral. Lineage: Eukaryota; Fungi; Neocallimastigomycota; Neocallimastigomycetes; Neocallimastigales.
UAUGUGAUCGUCUCUCGCAUAUCAAUAAGCGGAGGAAAAGAAACUAACAAGGAUUCCCCUAGUAACGGCGAGUGAAGCGGGAAGAGCUCAAAUUUGAAAUCUUAAAGGGUUUCCCUUUACGAAUUGUAGUUUAAAGAAGUGUUUUCUGUUGAGGUUUUGGUAAAAGUUCUUUGGAAUAGGACAUCAUAGAGGGUGAGAAUCCCGUAUUUGACCUUUACUUUCAACUUUGUGAUACACUUUCAAAGAGUCGGAUUGUUUGGGAAUGCAGUCCAAAAUGGGUGGUAAAUUUCAUCUAAAGCUAAAUAUUGGCGAGAGACCGAUAGCGAACAAGUACCGUGAGGGAAAGAUGAAAAGAACUUUGAAAAGAGAGUUAAACAGUACGUGAAAUUGUCAAAAGGGAAGCGUUUGACACCAGUGUUGUUUUUCUGAAAAUCAAUUAAAGAACUGUUUAUGCUAAGUUGUUUAGACCUUAUCAGCUAACUGUUUAAUUUUGAGCUUUUCUUUAAUGCACUUUUCAGUUAACAAGUCAACAUCAAUUUCUUUUGCUGUAAAAAAGCUUGAGGAAGGUGGCUUGAGAUUCGUCUUAAGUGUUUAUAGCCUCUUGCCUAUGCAGUCGGAGAGAUUGAGGUCUGCAGCGUAGAUCCUUCGGGGCUAAAUGCAUUUGUGCUAAGUUAUAGCAUUUUAUAGACAACUUGUUGACUAUGAUUUGUCUUGUAGCAUACUCGCUUAUGUUAUUUUACCUACGCUUAGGAUGUUGAGUAGCGACAUACGCAC